AUGUCUUUGGCCUCCAAAUUUUUUUGAAUUUGUAGGUGUGGGUGCAAUUGUGGCCAGUUCUUUUGCUUAGAAAGUUACCACAUGGGUAUUGUUAUACCUUUCCUUUUUCUUUUGGGAUUAACGAGUGAAAUCAUUCCAGAACAACAAAAGCAAAGGUAGCCUGGUUUUAAGCCUGAAAAAGAAAAGGUUACUAAUUUUUCUACAAUCUGCUGAGGAGCUACUUUAAGACUAGUUACAAAAGAGACUCACACAUAGGUUGCAAACCUUACAUUAGAAAUUGGAAAAGAUGUGAAACAGAAACACGCCAGAAUUCCCCAUUUCAUGCCAAAUUCUGGGAGCUGUUGGUUUCCUUGCAAUUUCAUUUGCGAGUGAUCAAGCGAAAUUCUUUUAGCUGUAGGUUCCCUUGCAAUUUCAUUUUCAAGUGAUCAGUUCCCUUGAUCAUGUCCUUUAAGUCAGCAGCAAUCAUUUGCACUAGAUUGUGACUCACCACUUCUUUAUAUUUUUCUUUUUCUGAAAUCUUCUGAUUCCUUUAUCUCCAAUUAUUUACAUUUUGUAAGCAUGCAAAGAUAAUGUCAAACUAUAGAAGUUAAAGAUUUGUUGCACAGAUGAGCUUUUGCCUACCUGAAUUUUUCAUUCUAAUCACCAGAUACCUCAUCUGAUUUGAUUGCUUUAUUGGGAUGUUAUUGAUGAUUAUUUGCAGAUGCUGCAAUAACUUCAACAGUGAUACAUCUUAGAUUCCAGCUAUGUGGUUAAUUUUAUCACUGGCUUGCUAGCGUUGAUAA
This is a long non-coding RNA of Ricinus communis (castor bean), 782 nucleotides long. RefSeq lists it as uncharacterized. NCBI's taxonomy places the organism in Eukaryota, Viridiplantae, Streptophyta, Magnoliopsida, Malpighiales, Euphorbiaceae. The transcript is spliced from 2 exons. The record is from RefSeq and is a predicted model, not a curated record.